CCUGCAGUUCAAACUGGGCCAUGCAUCUGAAGCUAACCAGGUUUAAGCCUGGUCAGUACUUGGAUGGAAGAUCAAUUAAGAAAGCUGGGUUACUGCUGGA
This 100-nucleotide ribosomal RNA is filed under the name Paramormyrops kingsleyae. Lineage: Eukaryota; Metazoa; Chordata; Actinopteri; Osteoglossiformes; Mormyridae. The record is from RNAcentral.